This 639-nucleotide ribosomal RNA is filed under the name uncultured archaeon. RNAcentral's name for it is "bacterial SSU rRNA". It matches the Rfam family "Archaeal small subunit ribosomal RNA", at positions 109 to 746 of the family's 1478-position model. The record is from RNAcentral.
CUACCCUGGUGGACGAGGAUACUCUCGGGAAACUGAGGCUAAUCCUCGAUAUAGCUUCCAUGCUGGAAUGCAGGAAGCUAGAAAUGCUCUGGCGCCACAGGAUGUGGCUGCGGCCGAUUAGGUAGACGGUGGGGUAACGGCCCACCGUGCCAGUAAUCGGUACGGGUGAUGAGAGUCAGAGCCCGGAGACGGUAUCUGAGACAAGAUACCGGGCCCUACGGGGCGCAGCAGGCGCGAAACCUUUACACUGCACGCCAGUGCGAUAGGGGGACUCCGAGUGCGAGGGCAUACAGUCCUCGCUUUUCUGGACCGUAAGGAGGUCCAGGAACAAGUGCUGGGCAAGACCGGUGCCAGCCGCCGCGGUAAUACCGGCAGCACAAGUGAUGGCCGAUAUUAUUGGGCCUAAAGCGUCCGUAGCUGGCCGGACAAGUCCGUUGGGAAAUCCACGCGCUUAACGCGUGGGCGUCCAGCGGAAACUGUCCGGCUUGGGGCCGGAGGACUCGAGGGGUACGUCCGGGGUAGGAGUGAAAUCCCGUAAUCCUGGACGGACCACCGGUGGCGAAAGCGCCUCGAGAGGACGGACCCGACAGUGAGGGACGAAAGCCAGGGUCUCGAACCGGAUUAGAUACCCGGGUAGUC